UAUAGGGAUUUUUUUAAAUCCAUUAAUGUAAUCUUAAAGGAGGUGU
Molecule: non-coding RNA, 46 nt
Organism: Myotis davidii
Lineage: Eukaryota; Metazoa; Chordata; Mammalia; Chiroptera; Vespertilionidae
Source: Rfam